UACGUAGGGCGCAAGCGUUGUCCGGAAUUAUUGGGCGUAAAGAGCUCGUAGGCGGUCUGUUACGUCCGCUGUGAAAACCCAGGGCUUAACCCUGGGCUUGCAGUGGAUACGGGUAGACUAGAAGCAGGUAGGGGAGAAUGGAAUUCCCGGUGUAGCGGUGAAAUGCGCAGAUAUCGGGAGGAACACCGGUGGCGAAGGCGGUUCUCUGGGCCUGACCUGACGCUGAGGAGCGAAAGCGUGGGGAGCGAACAGG
RNAcentral lists this ribosomal RNA (253 nucleotides) under uncultured bacterium. RNAcentral's name for it is "partial 16S ribosomal RNA". It matches the Rfam family "Bacterial small subunit ribosomal RNA", at positions 524 to 776 of the family's 1533-position model. The record is from RNAcentral.